This 398-nucleotide long non-coding RNA is filed under the name Rattus norvegicus (Norway rat). RNAcentral's name for it is "long non-coding RNA NONRATT005068". Lineage: Eukaryota; Metazoa; Chordata; Mammalia; Rodentia; Muridae. The record is from RNAcentral.
GACCCAGUUCACCUGAGCCGGGCAAGGGACAUGGUGACCCCGGCGUGGGGUGCGACCCGGCAAGACCAAGAACUUCAAGCGAAACGCAAGGCAGGUCCGGCCCAGCGCUCGGAGGCUUUUGCGGUCAGAAACAAGGCGGAGGUGCUGUCACAUUAGUUUCAGGCCAGUGAAAAACUGCUGAGGCUAGACCGUCAUGGGCGAGGCCAGCAGAGAUGAGUAUAAAAUCCAGUCUUUCGAUGCAGAGACUCAGCAGCUGCUGAAGACUGCACUCAAAGAUCCAGGUGCUGUGGACCUGGAGAGAGUAGCCAACGUGAUUGUGGACCAUUCUCUGCAGGACUGCGUAUUCAGCAAGGAAGCAGGACGGAUGUGCUACGCCAUUAUUCAGGCAGAGAGUAAGC